Non-coding RNA from Betta splendens (Siamese fighting fish), 823 nucleotides. The record is from the annotation of a RefSeq genome assembly. Lineage: Eukaryota; Metazoa; Chordata; Actinopteri; Anabantiformes; Osphronemidae.
GUCAAAGGUUCAACCAGAGGAACCAACAGCUCAGUAAACCUCUGGAUGAUUCUGGACCAAGUCAAUAGAUUUGUGGUCUUUAAAGAAACUAUGAUUGUCUGGAGCUUAUUCAUAUUUUGCAUUCAGGGAGUUUGGAGUGAGAUCAGACUGAAUCAGUCUCCCACCGAGGUGAAAAGACCUGGAGAGACAGUGAAGAUGUCAUGCGUCACAUCUGGUUAUACCAUGACAGACUACGCUAUGAACUGGAUACGACAGAAGCCAGGGAACGCUCUGGAGUGGAUGGGGUGGAUCAACACCUAUACGGCCACUCCAACCUAUGCCAGCUCCUUUCAAAGCCGGAUCACGCUUUCUCAGGACGUUCCCAGCAGCACUCAGUACCUUGAGAUCAGGAGCCUGACAACAGAAGACGCUGCUGUUUACUACUGUGCUCGAAUGCACAGUGAGUGGAGUCAGUGGAGCAGCUGCACACAAACCUGCUUAGGCUUCAUGUUCCCAAAGAGGGUGAUUCAGACUAUGAAGUAAUGAUGCUGUACAAUAUAUCUAGAGGCAUAAAAACCCAGAAACUCUAUUAAUAUACAUACAUGACAUUAACUACAUCCAUGGAGUUGAAUUCUGUUUAUGUUUUACUCUGAUUCUAGACUCAUCAGAAAACACAAACUCUAUUAAUAUACUGUGUUUUUAACUACACCUGUAAUGUUCAAUUCUGGGAGACUUGAAUGUGUAACUGUAUAGAGAUGGACCUAACGGUUUGGCAAUGAUAACUAAACUGGGUAACAUGCAUUAACACACAUUGAAUGUUACUAUUUUGAUUGUAAAUAAAAAG